This 449-nucleotide long non-coding RNA is filed under the name Citrus sinensis (sweet orange). RNAcentral's name for it is "long non-coding RNA (CSIN_LNC000234)". The record is from RNAcentral. Lineage: Eukaryota; Viridiplantae; Streptophyta; Magnoliopsida; Sapindales; Rutaceae.
UCCACAAAAACAUCACAGACCAUGCAUAAACGCCACUUCACUAAUGGAUUCUCACUUCCUUCACAUCCUGCUUAGGCUUUUCGGUCCUAGGAAUUACAAUAUUAAGAACCCCGUUUUUCAACUCCGCCUUAAUUUCGUCAGCCUUCGCAUCAUCAGGCAGCGCGAGGCUUGUGUUGUAGUAACCAUAGCUCCUUGCUGACCAGUGUUCGUCGUCAGAGCCUUCCUCUUCCUCUUCCUUGUGCUCACCCUUUAUUGUCAGAACCCCAUCAUGAAUGGUGAUCUUCACAUCAUCUUUGCCUAGCCCCGGAACGUCAUACCGCAGCUUGUAGCAGUCGUCUUGCUCUUUCACCCACCCCAUGAGUUGUGAUGGUGUAAAGUUCAAGUUUUCGAAUAUCCUGUUAAUGUUUUCGGUUGCUUGCAUGAGUGCAUUUCCAAGCCCUGAAGGAAAG